UGGACACUCGUAUACAGGUGGUGCAUGGUUGUCGUCAGCUCGUGUCGUGAGAUGUUGGGUUAAGUCCCGCAACGAGCGCAACCCUCGUUCUAUGUUGCCAGCACGUAAUGGUGGGAACUCAUGGGAUACUGCCGGGGUCAACUCGGAGGAAGGUGGGGAUGACGUCAAAUCAUCAUGCCCCUUAUGUCUUGGGCUUCACGCAUGCUACAAUGGCCGGUACAAAGGGCUGCAAUACCGUGAGGUGGAGCGAAUCCCAAAAAGCCGGUCCCAGUUCGGAUUGAGGUCUGCAACUCGACCUCAUGAAGUCGGAGUCGCUAGUAAUCGCAGAUCAGCAACGCUGCGGUGAAUACGUUCCCGGGUCUUGUACACACCGCCCGUCAAGUCAUGAAAGUCGGUAACACCUGAAGCCGGUGGCCUAACCCUUGUGGAGGGAGCCGUCGAAG
This 443-nucleotide ribosomal RNA is filed under the name maize root bacterium ZmrIs19. RNAcentral describes it as "bacterial SSU rRNA". It matches the Rfam family "Bacterial small subunit ribosomal RNA", at positions 1021 to 1461 of the family's 1533-position model. The record is from RNAcentral.